Molecule: ribosomal RNA, 419 nt
Filed under: uncultured bacterium
Lineage: Bacteria
Description: bacterial SSU rRNA
Rfam family: Bacterial small subunit ribosomal RNA
Source: RNAcentral
GGAAUAUUGGACAAUGUGCGAAAGCCUGAUCCAGCCAUGCCGCGUGUGUGAAGAAGGUCUUCGGAUUGUAAAGCACUAUAAGUUGGGAGGAAGGGCAGUAAGCGAAUACCUUGCUGUUUCGACGUUACCAACAGAAUAAGCACCGGCUAACUCUUUUCCAGCAGCCGCGGUAAUACAGAGGGUGCGAGCGUUAAUCGGAAUUACUGGGCGUAAAGCGCGCGUAGGUGGUUCGUGAAGUUGGAUGUGAAAGCCCCGGGCUCAACCUGGGAGCUGCAUCCAAAACUGGCGAGCUAGAGUAGGGCAGAGGGUGGUGGAAUUUCCUGUGUAGCGGUGAAAUGCGUAGAUAUAGGAAGGAACACCAGUGGCGAAGGCGACCACCUGGGCUCAUACUGACACUGAGGUGCGAAAGCGUGGGGAGC